AUUGAACGCUGGCGGCAGGCCUAACACAUGCAAGUCGAGCGGUAGAGAGAAGCUUGCUUCUCUUGAGAGCGGCGGACGGGUGAGUAAUGCCUAGGAAUCUGCCUGGUAGUGGGGGAUAACGUUCGGAAACGGACGCUAAUACCGCAUACGUCCUACGGGAGAAAGCAGGGGACCUUCGGGCCUUGCGCUAUCAGAUGAGCCUAGGUCGGAUUAGCUAGUUGGUGGGGUAAUGGCUCACCAAGGCGACGAUCCGUAACUGGUCUGAGAGGAUGAUCAGUCACACUGGAACUGAGACACGGUCCAGACUCCUACGGGAGGCAGCAGUGGGGAAUAUUGGACAAUGGGCGAAAGCCUGAUCCAGCCAUGCCACGUGUGUGAAGAAGGUCUUCGGAUUGUAAAGCACUUUAAGUUGGGAGGAAGGGCAGUUGCCUAAUACGUAACUGUUUUGACGUUACCGACAGAAUAAGCACCGGCUAACUCUGUG
RNAcentral lists this ribosomal RNA (484 nucleotides) under uncultured bacterium. Its description in RNAcentral is "partial 16S ribosomal RNA". It matches the Rfam family "Bacterial small subunit ribosomal RNA", at positions 30 to 507 of the family's 1533-position model. The record is from RNAcentral.